UAUUAGUAUUUUGAAGGCAGCUAAUUUGAAGGCCAAUUGUGAGCGAAGAAGCUCAUAGUAAGCAGGUAAAGGUUGAGAGUUGAAGUCCUAAUGGCUGUACCUCAACAGUUACGCUGCUACUAUUUUAAUGUUUCAAGAGGGUUUCACUUGCAUGUAAUUGGAAGUGGAAGUAGUAAUGUUCUUUCCUCUCAGGCAUUGCAUCAAACAGUUUCAAUACACUCUCAGUCACAGGCGCCUUUCAACUUCAACUUCAACUUCAAUUUGGAUGACCCAACUCUACCAAAGUUCCUGGAAUUGCUCAAAAAGGUGACCCAUUCGUCACAGCAAGCAUUAGGUCUCCACUUGUCAGGUUUCCAAGCAAAUAGGGAUUUGAUAUGUUCCGCUAUUUGGGUGUUGAGGGAAGAAUGGAAACCUGCGUUGCUUGCCUUCAAAUGGAGUUGCCAUGGUAAUGAUGAGAAAGUUUGCAACUUGAUGAUAUGGGUCUUGGCAACUCAUGGAAAAUUUUCCACUGCUUGGUGCAUCAUUCGAGAUAUGCAUCGUUCCUCUCUCUCCACGCGUCAGGCUAUGCUUAUUAUGAUUGAUAGAUAUGCAUCCGCAAACAACUCAGCCAAGGCUAUUCAAACAUUCAACUUUAUGGACAGACUUCAGAUUGACUCCUGAUCAGGAAGCAUUCCAUGCACUUUUGACUGCUCUUUGUAAAUAUAGAAACGUUGAAGAAGAUGAAGAGUUUAUGCUAGUAAAUAAGAAGCUCUUCCAUCUCGAUACCGAGGGCUUUAACAUUAUUCUUAAUGGAUGGUGUAACAUAACAAAGGAUAUAUAUGAAGCAAAAAAGAGUUUGGAGAGAAAUGUCGAAAUACUGUAUAACACCAGAUGCUACUUCGUAUAGCUACAUGAUUUCCUGCUUUUCAAAGGAAGGGAAUCUUUUUGACUCUCUUAGGCUCUAUGAUCAGAUGAAGAAAAGGGGAUGGAUCCCUGGGAUAGAGAUUUACAAUUCAUUAGUAUAUGUUUUAACUCAUGAAAAUUGCUUGAAGGAAGCUCUCAGGACAAUAGAUAAGUUGAAAGAACAAGGUUUGCAACCAGGUUCUGUCACCUUCAACUCCAUGAUACUCUCUCUUUGUGAAGCUGGAAAGCUAGCUGAGGCAAGGAUAAUAUUUAACUCAAUGGUAGAGGAGAAUGUUAGUCCAACCACUGAGACCUAUCAUGCAUUUUUUGAGGGAACAGAUUAUCAAGGAACAUUGGAAUUUCUAACUAGGAUGAAAGAUUCUGGUUUGGGUCCUAGUAAGGAUUCCUUUGUCAUAAUUCUGGCAAAAUUCUUAAAGUUGAAGCAACCUGUAAAUGCACCAAAAUUUUGGACAGAAAUGAAGACAUAUGAUGUGCUGCCCAGUUGUGUGCAUUACAGAAUAAUGGUUGAAGGGCUAGUAACAUGUAGGUGGUUCAUAAAGGCCAGGGGUUUUUAUGAGGAGAUGAUUUCAAAUGGAUGUUCAGCUGAUCCAAUGCUUAAUAGGCUCUUUCAGGAAGAAGUACUUGGUAGUGGUGAUAAAGGAAAACAGAAUGUUAAAAAGGCUCAUAGUAAUAAAAGUGUGAAAUAUUCUGAAAAAUGAUAAGAUGAAGAAGAAAAAUUAUCAAGACCAGAGAAGAAAGAAGACAUUCUCUAACUAACUUGGAGCAGAGAGCAGAACCUCCCAAUAUUUUCCGUUCUACAUUCUACCACUGUGAAUACAAUGUAUCACUUAGUGCUAAGAUGGUUAACUAUGGCAGGAUAUGUUGAGUAGUUCAUUUUGUCAAAAUCCUGACAGUUGAUGCAUUAUGGCUGUGGCCCCUUGACUCCCUACCCAAGUUUUGAAUUUCAUUACUGGAGCAGAUGUACUGAAGACAUGGGAAAAUAUUAACCCAUUAUUAUCUGAUCAUUAAGUAAACGCUUGACGGUUUUGGUUGCUGCUGCAUGCUCCAGACCUCAUACUCCAUUGUUUUGAUUGUCGUGGUUCAUAAUACAAAAUCAUACAAAGCUCAUAUUUGGUUGUCUUCCUGAGUGUUCUCAAUUGAUUGUAAAAAUGAGUCCAAUAACAUUCCAUUCCAAUUUAAUAUCUAUAUAAAAAGCAGCACCUUAUGCCAAAAACGAUGAGUAGUAUGUUCUCUUCCACUAGUUUUUAAGAGAAGAUCAGUUUAUAAUUAAAGGAGCAGAAGACCAGAAGACUGGACCUAUGAAUUGGUGCUUCCUAUUGUGAAUUGUUCUGUCUAGCAAGCUGGUAAAUUAUUCCUUUCAUACAUCUAUGGUAGAUGAUCCGUCUCCAUUUGCUCCCUCCCUACCCUCUCAUCAUAAAGUAGAGCAGGAGUUCUGUCUAUGCACCCAGAAUCAGGUAACAUCUUGGAGUACAUUCUCUUUGCUCAAUAUUCUCCCUUCCAGUUACCCCAUGAAAUUUGUUCCUUGACCUACAAAGAGUAAUGUAGGGACACUUUCAAGUAUCACACCAUUGAUGGCUUUCCCUGUCCGUCUGCUUUAAGUCGUUGCCAGCCAAUCCAGAAUAAGAAUACGAUUCAAGAAUCAAGAUCAUUUACUAUUUAAUGAUCUCACAUGUAUUUUAUCCACUAAUAAAGGGUGUAUUCUAAUGACAAGUGUGUUAAUAAUAUGAUAAAGAAGAUUUUAGCUAGCAUUCCUCUUUAUCUAUUUCAACAAAAACAUUGAGUGUAAACUUGACGGUUAGAAAAGAGAAGAGGAGAAAGGAAAAGGCAAGUGGAAGUUCAAUAUUAAAAGGAGCAGGAGUGAACGAGAAGCAGUCUAAGGCUAAAGUGAGUGGGUUCCUGUUUUGUACCCUUAUCCUUCAAAUCCAACCACUUAACCCAAAGUCAUCUGUUGCUCUACUUAGAUUUCGUCUUGGUGACUACAUCACAUAUCUUGUUUAAAACUUCAAACUUAAUGCAUAAUUAUAAAAAGGAUUAACGUGCUAAUUCA
Glycine soja is the source of this 2950-nucleotide RNA transcript. It is a transcript of the gene named pentatricopeptide repeat-containing protein At1g80880, mitochondrial-like, with no coding region annotated. The transcript has 2 exons. The record is from RefSeq and is a predicted model, not a curated record. NCBI's taxonomy places the organism in Eukaryota, Viridiplantae, Streptophyta, Magnoliopsida, Fabales, Fabaceae.